UACGUAGGGGGCUAGCGUUAUCCGGAAUUACUGGGCGUAAAGGGUGCGUAGGCGGUCUUUCAAGCCAGAAGUGAAAGGCUACGGCUCAACCGUAGUAAGCUUUUGGAACUGUAAGACUUGAGUGCAGGAGAGGAGAGUGGAAUUCCUAGUGUAGCGGUGAAAUGCGCAGAUAUCAGGAGGAAUACCAGAGGCGAAGGCGACUCCCUGGGCCUCUACUGACGCUGAGGCGCGAAAGCGUGGGAAGCAAACAGGAUUAGAUACCCGGGUAGUCCCU
This 274-nucleotide ribosomal RNA is filed under the name uncultured prokaryote. Its description in RNAcentral is "partial 16S ribosomal RNA". It matches the Rfam family "Bacterial small subunit ribosomal RNA", at positions 524 to 798 of the family's 1533-position model. The record is from RNAcentral.